GGCGAUUGAAUUAGGUUUUUGGCUCUGUCUUUGAUCUGUCGGGGGUACGUAGGUAUAUAUAGGAGGAAGGAGUACGUCGGUGGAGCAACAGGGGGCCCACGAGGUAGGGGGCGCGCCCAGGGGGCGCCCUCCACCCUCGUGGCCACCUCUGGCACUUCUUGGAGUAGGGUCCAAGUCUCCUGGAUCAUGUUCGGUGAGAAAAUCACGUUCCCGAAGGUUUCAUUCCGUUUAGACUCCGUUUGAUAUUCUGUUUCUUCAAAACACUGAAAUAGGCAAAAAAACAGUAAUUCUGGGCUGGGCCUCCGGUUAAUAGGUUAAUCCCAAAAAUAAUAUAAAAGUGGAAAAUAAAGCCCAAUAUAGUCCAAAACAGUAGAUAAAGUAGCAUGGAGCAAUCAAAAAUUAUAGAUACGUUGGAGACGUAUCAGGCAUCCGCAAGCUUAAUUCCUGCUCGUCCUCGAGUAGGUAAAUGAUAAAAAAAGAAUUUUUGAUGCGGAGUGAUACUUUGGCAUAAUUUCAAUGUAAAUAUUCUUAAUUGUGAUAUGAAUAUUCAGAUACGAAAGAUUCAAGACAAAAGUUCAUAUUGAUACAAAAAUAAUAAUACUUCAAGCAUACUAAUCAAAGCAAUCAUGUCUUCUCAAAAUAGCAUGGCAAAAGAAAGUUCAUCCCUACAAAAUCAUAAGCUAUGCUUCAUUUUUGUCACACAAAGAUGUUCCCAACUUAUAUACCCCCGAUGACAAGCCAAGCAAUUGUUUCAUACUCAAAUAAUCUCAAACUUUUUCAACCUUCACGCAAUACAUGAGCACGAGCCAUGGAUAUAGCACUAUGGGUGGAAUAGAAUAUGAUGAUGGGGAUUGUGUGGAGAAGAUAAAAAAGGAGAAAGUCUCACAUUUAUGAGGCUAAUCAACGGGCUAUGGAGAUGCCCAUCAAUUGAUGUCAACAUGAGGAGUAGGGAUUGCCAUGCAAUGGAUGCACUAGAGCUAUGAAUGCUCAACAAAAGAAAACUAGUGGGUGUGCAUCCAACUCGCUUGCUCAUGAAGACCUAGGGCAUUUGAGGAAGCCCAUCGUAGGAAUAUACAAGCCAAGUUCUAUAAUGAAAAAUUCCCACUAGUAUGAAAAGGACAACUUUAUGAGACUCACUACAUGAAGAACAAGGUGCUACUUUGAAGCACAAUAUAUGAGACUCACUACAUGAGGAACAAGGUGCUACUUUGAAGCACAAGUGUGGAAAAAGAGAUAGUAGCAUUGCCCCCUUUUUUUCUUUUCUUUUUUUGGGCCUUUCUUUUUUCCUUUUGGCCUUUCUUCCUUUUUUUGGGCAAUGCUCUAAUAAUGAUGAUCAUCACACUUCUAUUGAUUACAACAUAAGGAUUACAACUCGAAACUUAGAACAAGAUAUGACUCUAUAUGAAUGCCUCCGACGGUGUACCGGGAUGGUGCAAUGAAUCAAGAGUGACAUGUAUGAAAAAUAAUGCAUGGUGGCUUUGCCACAAAUACGAUGUCAACUACAUGAUCAUGCAAUGGCAAUAUGACAAAAGUAAUGUAUUUCAUGAUGAUGAUGAUGGAAGUUGCAUGGCAAUAUAUCUCGGAAUGGCUAUGGAAAUGCCAUGAUAGGUAGGUAUGGUGGCUGUUUUGAGGAAGAUAUAAGGAGGUUUAUGUGUGAUAGAGCAUAUCAUAUCACGGGGUUUGGAUGCACCUGCGAAGUUUGCACCAACUAUCAAGGUGAGAAAGGGCAAUGCACGGUACCGAAGAGGCUAGCAAAGGCGGAAAGGUGAGAGUGCGUAUAAUCCAUGGACUCAACAUUAGUCAAAAGAACUCAUAUACUUAUUGCAAAAAUUAAGAAGUCAUCAAAAAUCAAGUACUACGUGCAUGCUCCUAGGGGGAUAGAUUGGUAGGAAAAGACCAUCGCUCGUCCCCAACCGCCACUCAUAAGGAUGCACAAGCCAGGUACACUUCAUGUUUCAAAUUUGUUACACAACUUUAACCAUGUGUGCAUGCUACGGGACUUGCAAACUUCAACACAAGCAUUCUUUGAAUUCAUAAUCACCCAACUAGCACGACUUUGAUAUUAUCACCUCCAUAUCUCAAAACAAUUAUCAAGCAUCAAACUUAUCUUAGUAUUCAAUUCACUCAAAAGAAAGUUUCACAUAUCUUGAAUACCAAGUAUAUUAACAUUAAGCAAAUUACCAUGCUAUUAAUUACUCUCAAAAUAAUCUAAGUGAAGCAAGAGAGAUCAAUAGUUUCUUUAAAACAAAUCCACUACCGUGCUCUAAAAGAUAUAAGUGAAGUACUAGAGCAAAAAUUAUCACGCUCAAAAGAUAUAAGUGAAGCACUAUGAGCAAAACUAUCAAGCUCAAAAGAUAUAAGUGAAGCACAUAGAGUAUUCUAACAAAUUCCAAUUCAAGUAUGGCUCUCUUAAAAGGUGUUUACAGCAAGGAUGAUUGUGGUAAACUAACAAGAAAAGACGCGAAUAAUACAAGACGCUCCAAGCAAAACACAUAUCAUGUGGUGAAUAAAAAUAUAGCUCCAAGUAAAUUACCGUUGGAAGUGGGUGAAGGAGGGGAUGCCUUCCGGGGCAUCCCCAAGCUUUGACUUUUUGGUGUCCUUGGAUUAUCUUGGGGGUUCCAUGGUCAUCCCCAAGCUUAGGCUCUUGCCACUCCUUGUUCCAUAAUCCAUCAAAAGAAUUCACCCAAAACUUGAAAACUUCACAACACAAAACUCAAUAGAAAUCUCGUGAGCUCCGUUAGUGAAAGAAAACAAAAGACUAAUUUAAGGUACUGUAAUGAACUAAUUCUUUAUUUAUAUUGGUGUUAAACCUACUGUAUUCCAACUUCCUUAUGGUUUAUAAACUAAUUUAUUGGCCAUAGAUGCAUUGAAAUAAGCAAACAACACACGGAAAACAGAAUCUGUCAAAAACAGAAAAGUCUUUAGCAAUCUGUAACUAACGCAAACUUCUGGAACUCUAAAACUUCUACCAAAAUAUGAAGUACUGGAAAAUUUGUUUAUUGAUCAGAAGCAAAAAGAAUCAAUGCAAAAUCACGUUUUUGUGAUUUAUUGAAUUUUUUCUCGUGAGCGCAAAGUUUCUGUUUUUCAGCAGAAUCAAAUCAACUAUCAUCGUAGGUUAUCCUAUAGGUUCUACUUGGCACAAACACUAAUUAAAAGAUAAAACCACAUCCAAACAGAAGCUAGAUGGAUUAUCUAUUCCUAAACAGAAGCAAAAACAAAAAACACAAAAUAAAAUCGGGUUGCCUCCCAACAAGCGCUAUCGUUUAACGCCCCUAGCUAGGCAUAAAAGCAAGAAUAGAUCUAGGUAUUGCCAUCUUUGGUAGGCAAUUCUUCAAUGAGGCAUCUACCACCUUUAGAAUUUUCUUUCUUUCUAGUAAUUGACAAAUUUUCAAGCAAAAGAUCGAAAAAUUCAUUCAUAGCACAAGGUUCCUUAGUGAGGGUAAAAAGAUUGGGAUGAAAACUUAUAGAUUUAAGAUCCGCAAUUUCCUUACUAGAUGAUUCACCCUUAUUCUUAGGAACAAAAAUAGGCUUAGUAUUUUUAGUAUACGAACUUGGAGUGUUUUGUACGGAAGAAAAAGCGGUUCCCAAGUUGGUGAUGAUACCCUCAAGUUUAUCAAUUCUUGUGGAAUCUAGAUUUAUUUUCUCAUUAACUAUGGGUUCUUUUUAUUUAAUAUUUUUCAAAGUCAUUCCUACCUUAGAUCCAUAUUGGGUAAUUUGAUUGUGGAUCUUUUUAUCAAGAUUUUCAAUUGAUUCAAUGGUAGCAACUUUAUUCUCAAUAAUUUCAAGUCUUUGCAUAACAUGCUCAAAAGUUAACGUAGUUCCAUUAACCAAAAGAGGUGGUGAGCCAAAUAAAUCUAUUAAAGCAUUAUAAGAAUCAAAAGUAUGACUACCCAAGAAAUUCCCUCCGGUAAUGGUGUCAAGGAUAUAUCUAUACCAAGGAUUAGCACCUACGUAAAAAAUACGAUGAAGAACUGAAGUAGAUUGCUUCCUGCUAGAUUUAUUUUGAGCAUUGCAAAUUCUAUACCAAGCGUCUUUCAGAUUUUCUCCCUCCCUUUGCUUAAAAUUUAGAACUUCAUUCUCGGGAGAUAACGGAGAAGAUAUGAGACUAGACAUAAUGAUAAGCAAGCAAACUAACACACGAGCAAACAGAAAGGCAACGAGAAAAAGAGGAGGAGAUUGAUUAAGAGAGGGCGAAUAAAACGGCAAGGGUGAAGUGGGGGAGAGGAAAAUGAGAGGCAAAUGGCAAAUAAUGUAAUGCGAGAGAUAGGGAUUGCGAUGGGUACUUAGUAUGGUUGACUUUCUUGCGUGAGCCUCCCCAGCAACGGCGCCAGAAAUGAGCUUAGUUGACGGAGUGUGAGUACCCUUUACCUAGCCUCCCCGGCAACGGCGCCAGAAAUUCUUCUUGCUACCUCUUGAGCACUGCGUUGGAUUUCCCCGAAGAGGAGAGGAUGAUGCAGCGAAGUAGCGUAAGUAUUUCCCUCAGUUUUUGAGAACCAAGGUAUCAAUCCAGUAGGAGAUCACGCACAAGUCCCUCGUACCUACACAAAACGAUAGCUACUCGCAACCAACGCGAUUAGGGGUUGUCAAUCCCUUCACGGUCACUUACGAGAGUGAGAUCUGAUAGAGAUGAUAAAUAAUAUUUUUGGUAUUUUUGAUAGAUAGAUGCAAAGUGAAAAGUAAAAGGCAAAGUAAAAACAAAGCAAGUAAAUAAAGCGAUAGAGAUUGAUAUGAUGAGAAUAGACCCGGGGGCCAUAGGUUUCACUAGUGGCUUCUCUCAAGAGCAUAGAUAUUCUACGGUGGGUGAACAAAUUACUGUUGAGCAAUUAAUAGAAAAGCGAAUAAUUAUGAGCAUAUCUAGGUAAUAUCAUGUAUAUAGGCAUCACGUCCAAGACAAGUAGAUCGAAGUGAUUCUGCAUCUACUACUAUUACUCCACUCAUCGACCGAUAUCUAGCAUGCAUCUAGAGUAUUAAGUUAAAAACAGAGUAACGCCUUAAGCAAGAUGACAUGAUGUAGAGGGAUAAAUUCAUGCAAUAUGAUAAAAAACCAUCUUGUUAUCCUCGAUGGCAACAAUACAAUAUGUGCCUUGCAACCCUUUCUGUCACUGGGUAAGGACACCGCAAGAUUGAACCCAAAGCUAAGCACUUCUCCCAUUGCAAGAACUACCAAUCUAGUUGGCCAAACAAAAAAGGAUAAUUUAAAGAGACUUGCAAAGAUAACUCAAUCAUACAUAAAAGAAUUCAGAGAAGAUUCAAAUAUUUUCCAUGGAUAAGUUGGAUCAUAAACCCACAAUUCAUCGGACUCAACAAACACACCGCAAAAAGAAGAUUGCAUCGAAUAGAUCUCCACAAGAGAGGGGGAGAACAUUGUAUUGAGAUACAAAAAGAGAGAAGAAGCCAUCUAGCUACUAGCUAUGGACCCGAAGGUCUGAAGUAAACUACUCACACUUCAUCGGAGGGGCUAUGGUGUUGAUGUAGAAGCCCUCCAUGGUGGAUGCCCCCUCCGGCGGAGCUCCGGAACAGGCCCCAAGAUGGGAUCUCGUGGAUACAGAAGGUUGCAGCGGUGGAAUUAGGUUUUUGGCUCUGUCUUUGAUCUGUCGGGGGUACGUAGGUAUAUAUAGCAGGAAGGAGUACGUCGGUGGAGCAACAGGGGGCCCACGAGGUAGGGGGCGCGCCCUCAACCCUCAUGACCACCUCUGGCACUUCUUGGAGUAGGGUCCAAGUCUCCUGGAUCACGUUCGGUGAGAAAAUCACGUUCCCGAAGGUUUCAUUCCAUUUGGACUCCGUUUGAUAUUCUGUUUCUUCGAAACACUGAAAUAGGCAAAAAAA
Molecule: long non-coding RNA, 5826 nt
Filed under: Triticum aestivum (bread wheat)
Lineage: Eukaryota; Viridiplantae; Streptophyta; Magnoliopsida; Poales; Poaceae
Description: long non-coding RNA (TAES_LNC007550)
Source: RNAcentral